ACUGCUGAAGAGAAAAGGAAGAAGGGUCUCACAACAGCCAGAAGCAACUGAAGUUUUGUUUCAAGUUAAGUUUAGUUCCCAGAAAGAAAAAAAAUAAAUUUAAAGUCAGUUAGCUAGCAUACAAAAUCACUUUAGCUAAGCCUCCAACAGGAAAUGUUGGAGGAUAUCAUCAGUCUGUGCUGCAGAUGCAAUUGAAAGUGUGGUUGUUAUUGUUGUUUUGUUUGUUUUGUUUGUUCGUUAUUUCCAGGUAAAUGUAUUUGUAUUAGCUAAUUCUUGCUCUAGAAAAUGUUAUUAUUAGUUUUAGUUAUAAUUUUAGUUAUUAAGUGAAAAUAAAGCCUUAUUUGUGUAUGUUUAUAUAUGAAUUCACAUUUUCAGUGUCAGAAGAACCUGGUCAGUUCUAGUUUUGAUCAUGAUAGCUCUUAAGAAAAUGCCUGAAAAUGUGACAUCUCACUUUCUGAACCCAUGCACAGCUUUGCCAGCACUGCUUGCUUUGCCAUGCUGUUUACCUGCUGCUGUUGCUCAGCUCUGGCAGUGCUUCUUGCUCUGCAGUAUAUCCCGAUAUUCUGUCUUGGAAUUUCCCUGGGAGAAUGACUCAUAAUGUUAGUGCUAGCAUGGUGUUAUUAUUCUGAGGUUACACAACUGAAGACCCAGAAGGAAAUCAUGACAUUCCCAUUCCAGCUUUUUGAAAAAGUUUUCACAGGUAAUUUGGAAAUUUACAGGCUGCUUUUUCCAGGUGAUACCUCUGCAUAAAUCACCUCACUUGUCAUUUUGAAGAAAUAUCUUCAGAUCUGCAAUCAAAAUGGACUCAUUGAAGGAGACAGUCUUCCACUGCAGAGAGGUGGUUUCUGGCAAGAAAAAAUCAGUUGAAGAUAACACUUGUUACACUUGUUAUCUGACAUCACAGACAAGAUGUUCCAAGGCAGAGUCUUUAUAUCAGCAAAACAGCAUGAGGAAGAGAUUUGUGUUGGUACUUAGGCACUAAAAUGUGCCCUCAGUGUCAGUGUUGCAAACCUAGAUUGACUUUACUAGCGUUCUUCUGGAUUUAUUUAUUGCCGAGUCUAAGGCCUCGGAACUGGGGAAAGGUGAAAAGAGAUUCUGUAUGCACAGAAGCCACUGAUUUUUGAUCCUUGUUUUCCAGACCAUGCAUUAUUAGUUGCACAGAACUGGCAAAAUUAUUUUGUCAGUGGAUUUGUGGAGAGGAUGUAUAGACGUAUAUAUCACUAACAGGACAUUUCAAGGAUUUGGAAGAGAUCUUUGUAUUUUAAUAACACAAAGUAGACACUAGAUGUCUCACCUGCACCAUAAAAAACAUAAAAUGAUAUUCUACCUAAACUAAGAUCCUUAUAUGCUUAUAUAGUUCUUUCUUUCUUUCUUUC
This is a long non-coding RNA of Oxyura jamaicensis (ruddy duck), 1376 nucleotides long. RefSeq lists it as uncharacterized. Lineage: Eukaryota; Metazoa; Chordata; Aves; Anseriformes; Anatidae. The transcript has 3 exons. The record is from RefSeq and is a predicted model, not a curated record.